This 468-nucleotide ribosomal RNA is filed under the name uncultured bacterium. Its description in RNAcentral is "partial 16S ribosomal RNA". It matches the Rfam family "Bacterial small subunit ribosomal RNA", at positions 28 to 507 of the family's 1533-position model. The record is from RNAcentral.
GACGAACGCUGGCGGCGUGCUUAACACAUGCAAGUCGAACGGAAAGGCCCUGCUUUUGUGGGGUGCUCGAGCGGCGAACGGGUGAGUAACACGUGAGUAACCUGCCCUUGACUUUGGGAUAACUUCAGGAAACUGGGGCUAAUACCGGAUAGGAGCUCCUGCUGCAGGGUGGGGGUUGGAAAGUUUCGGAGGUUGGGGAUGGACUCGCGGCUUAUCAGCUUGUUGGUGGGGUAGUGGCUUACCAAGGCUUUGACGGGUAGCCGGCCUGAGAGGGUGACCGGCCACAUUGGGACUGAGAUACGGCCCAGACUCCUACGGGAGGCAGCAGUGGGGAAUAUUGCACAAUGGGCGGAAGCCUGAUGCAGCAACGCCGCGUGCGGGAUGACGGCCUUCGGGUUGUAAACCGCUUUCGCCUGUGACGAAGCGUGAGUGACGGUAAUGGGUAAAGAAGCACCGGCUAACUACGUG